GACCUGGUGGUGAAAGGAAUCACACCUGCUUUGCCUGCCAUGGCUGAAAGAGAAAUAUUUGUAGGGAUCCCCGGUUCAAGUCCGGGCCAGGUCA
This is a non-coding RNA of Mycena leptocephala, 94 nucleotides long. The record is from the annotation of a GenBank genome assembly. NCBI's taxonomy places the organism in Eukaryota, Fungi, Basidiomycota, Agaricomycetes, Agaricales, Mycenaceae.